Molecule: ribosomal RNA, 1147 nt
Filed under: uncultured bacterium
Lineage: Bacteria
Description: bacterial SSU rRNA
Rfam family: Bacterial small subunit ribosomal RNA
Source: RNAcentral
GAUUACCUCCAGCUAUGGAGGGCAGAUCCUAGAGCACGGACUUGUUGAAGAAACAUGCCUUCGGAUUGUCAACCUCUUCCCCCCGACCGAACGACUCAGAUGAUUGCCUGUGGGGUGACGUUCCGGGCGAGGGAGCACCGACUACUUACGUCCAGCAGCGCGUUAUUACGUAGUGGCGAGCGUUGUCCGAAUGACUUGGGGUAAGGCGGUUAGCCGUUCCUAUAAGUCUUGGGUGGAACCGGCGGUUCAAUCGGCGGCCUGCCUUGGAACUGCCGGGGCCUAGAGUUGACUAGAGGGCAGCGGAAUUCCCUGGUGUAGCGGUUGAAUGCGUAGAGAUCCGGGAGGAACACCAGUGGCGAAGGCGGCUGCCUUGGGGCCUAACUGACGCUGAGGCGCGAAAGCUGGGGGAGCAAACAGGAUUAGAUACCCUGGUAGUCCCAGCCGUAAACGAUGAGCGCUACGUGUGGUGGGGUUACUCCUGCCGUGCGGAAGCCAACGCAUUAAGCGCUCCGCCUGGGGAGUACGGCCGCAAGGCUGAAACUCAAAGGAAUUGACGGGGGCCCGCACAAGCGGUGGAGCAUGUGGUUUAAUUCGAAGCAACGCGUAGAACCUUACCUGGGCUUGACAUGCCGUUGUACCCGCCGAAAGGUGGGGAGCCCCUCUUCGGAGGGGAGGGCGGCACAGGUGGUGCAUGGUUGUCGUCAGCUCGUGUCGUGAGAUGUUGGGUUAAGUCCCGCAACGAGCGCAACCCCUGCCCCAUGUUGCCAGCGGGUGAUGCCGGGGACUCAUGGGGGACUGCCGGGGACGACCCGGAGGAAGGUGGGGAUGACGUCAAAUCAUCAUGCCCCUGAUGCCCAGGGCUACACACGUGCUACAAUGGCCGGGACAGCGCGGACCGAACCUGCGAGGGGGAGGGAAUCGCUCAAACCCGGUCCCAGUUCGGAUCGCAGGCUGCAACUCGCCUGCGUGAAGGCGGAAUCGCUAGUAAUCGCGGAUCAGCACGCCGCGGUGAAUGCGUUCCCGGGCCUUGUACACACCGCCCGUCACACCAUGGGAGCCGGCAACACCCGAAGCCGGUGGAGCUAACCCCGAUGAGGGGAGGCAGCCGUCGAAGGUGGGGCCGGUGACUGGGGUGAAGUCGUAACAA